RNAcentral lists this long non-coding RNA (290 nucleotides) under Gossypium barbadense (sea-island cotton). RNAcentral describes it as "long non-coding RNA (GBAR_LNC021544)". The record is from RNAcentral. Lineage: Eukaryota; Viridiplantae; Streptophyta; Magnoliopsida; Malvales; Malvaceae.
UGCUUCAAUACAAUUCAACGAGACAAUUCAUUAUACUCAUAAUAAUAAUGAACUAAUCUAUAACACCUCGCAAUCCAAUUCUGAUCACCGAGUUCGAUCAUCGAACCCAAACUACAGAAUAUUACCACAGAUAUCAGAAUAAAACACUUACAAUUUAUAGCAACUAAUUUAAUUUCAUUAUCAAAUCAUAUCAUGAUUCCAUGUAUACUAUGAAAUACAACCAAAACCAAGUGUAAAACGAGCUUAUGAAAAGCUCUAAGGUUGAUCCCGGAUCAAACAAGGACUAAUUU